This 384-nucleotide ribosomal RNA is filed under the name uncultured bacterium. RNAcentral describes it as "bacterial SSU rRNA". It matches the Rfam family "Bacterial small subunit ribosomal RNA", at positions 32 to 396 of the family's 1533-position model. The record is from RNAcentral.
AAUCAACGCUGGCGGCGUGCCUAACACAUGCAAGUCGAACGCGAAAGGGGGCUUCGGCUCCUGAGUAGAGUGGCGUCCGGGUGAGUAACACGUAGGUAAUCUACCUUCGGGUGGGGAAUAACCAGUCGAAAGAUUGGCUAAUACCGCAUAAUGCAGCGGCACCUAAUGGUGAUUAGUUGUUAAAGCGGGGGAUCGUAAGACCUUGCGCCUGAAGAGGAGCCUGCGGCAGAUAGCUAGUUGGUGAGGUAAUGGCUCACCAAGGCAUCGAUCUGUAGCUGGUCUGAGAGGACGGCCAGCCACACUGGCACUGACACACGGGCCAGACUCCUACGGGAGGCAGCAGUGGGAAUUUUGGGCAAUGGGCGAAAGCCUGACCCAGCAACG